AGUGGAAGCGUCUGGAAAGGCGCGCGAUACAGGGUGACAGCCCCGUACACAAAAAUGCACAUGCUGUGAGCUCGAUGAGUAGGGCGGGACACGUGGUAUCCUGUCUGAAUAUGGGGGGACCAUCCUCCAAGGCUAAAUACUCCUGACUGACCGAUAGUGAACCAGUACCGUGAGGGAAAGGCGAAAAGAACCCCGGCGAGGGGAGUGAAAAAGAACCUGAAACCGUGUACGUACAAGCAGUGGGAGCACGCUUAGGCGUGUGACUGCGUACCUUUUGUAUAAUGGGUCAGCGACUUAUAUUCUGUAGCAAGGUUAACCGAAUAGGGGAGCCGAAGGGAAACCGAGUCUUAACUGGGCGUUAAGUUGCAGGGUAUAGACCCGAAACCCGGUGAUCUAGCCAUGGGCAGGUUGAAGGUUGGGUAACACUAACUGGAGGACCGAACCGACUAAUGUUGAAAAAUUAGCGGAUGACUUGUGGCUGGGGGUGAAAGGCCAAUCAAACCGGGAGAUAGCUGGUUCUCCCCGAAAGCUAUUUAGGUAGCGCCUCGUGAAUUCAUCUCCGGGGGUAGAGCACUGUUUCGGCAAGGGGGUCAUCCCGACUUACCAACCCGAUGCAAACUGCGAAUACCGGAGAAUGUUAUCACGGGAGACACACGGCGGGUGCUAACGUCCGUCGUGAAGAGGGAAACAACCCAGACCGCCAGCUAAGGUCCCAAAGUCAUGGUUAAGUGGGAAACGAUGUGGGAAGGCCCAGACAGCCAGGAUGUUGGCUUAGAAGCAGCCAUCAUUUAAAGAAAGCGUAAUAGCUCACUGGUCGAGUCGGCCUGCGCGGAAGAUGUAACGGGGCUAAACCAUG
RNAcentral lists this ribosomal RNA (856 nucleotides) under Escherichia coli. RNAcentral describes it as "partial 23S ribosomal RNA". It matches the Rfam family "Bacterial large subunit ribosomal RNA", at positions 331 to 1191 of the family's 2925-position model. The record is from RNAcentral. Lineage: Bacteria; Pseudomonadati; Pseudomonadota; Gammaproteobacteria; Enterobacterales; Enterobacteriaceae.